CUACAUGAUCUAGAUUCCACCGUUCCCAAAUCACAUUAGUUAUGCUAUACUUCAGUUUUACUUUUAAUCUGCACUCUAUCCUUAUCUCUCUUUGAUAUAACUCUCGCUUAUUUUUCUUUAUGAUCAUCCAUUUUUGUGUUUCUCCGCGUUCUUCAAUUGAUGAAGAUCAAUAGUUCGAAGAUGCAAAACCUGUUAUUUGGAGUGUUGAAGAGCAAAGGUGUAGCUAAAAUUGCAGCAGUAGGCUUUCCUUGGGAGGUGAUUUUUCUUGCUCUGAUUACUGGUGGGUGAUCUUCUCAAGAAGGCUGCACUUAAAGGGAUUGAUUGGACAUACAAAUCAGAUGAAAAAGCUACGCCGAAAAAGAGCAUUAUCAGUCUGUUGAAAGCUCAGUUUCUGGUAGCUCCUUGAGAAAUUGCUAAAUCAGAGCAUCCUUGGACUAUCAGCCAUCAGUUCCUAGGAUCAAUGGUAGUUUAUCACUAGCAUCUUUUGAUUCUAUUGUAAUCACAAAAAGUAUGAAUUUUGCAGAAUAUUUAGAGGCAGGCCAGGUAAAUCAAGUUCUUAUAAGCAGAGAUGUUGUAUGUUAAAAAAAGUUCAAUGUGAAUUUAAGGUUUAUUAUUUAUCAUGCUGUACUCAACUAUCUUAACUUUUCAAGUCAUGGUAGAAUUCUUAUAAUGUUCGUAGUACUAUGUUUUCUGCAAGACAACUAGGCAGGUUAACAACAAGAACACUAGCUUCUCAGGUAUGAUGUUUGGUUUACUAUAUUUCCAUUGUUUCUCUGUCUUUAAGCAGUGAUCGAUAAAAUGGUUCAAACGAUAGGUAUAAGAAGUUACUGGUUUACCCAGGACUUUACAGACUACGAUCUCUUACAUUAGAUCGAUUCAGCCGCCGGGCUUAGCUUGGAAGUUGUACUCUGCCGAAGCCCAAGAGGGCCACACUGUUUAUCCAAACGUUGUGUUUGGCUUCUUGAUAAGAGGCACCUUUUUGAGGUACGACAAUGAGCAGGCCUAUCUAAGGUUGCUAAAGAAUCCUUUUGGAAUUUACAUAAAAUGGAAUAGAAUGAAUACUAUAUUUCUUAAUAGAGCAUUAAUUGUUUAGUGUUCAAGUGGUAUGGUGGAGUUCUUACCUAUGUAUGUAAAGUAUGAGCAGCCCAAGACAAAAAAUUAACGCAAUUUUCUUCCAACGCCAUAUAAGACUUCUAGUUUAGGCUUUCAAGCUCUCCAGUAGUACAAGAAUCUCUCAAUGAGAAUCCGGUGCUCGAACAAUGUGGAAGCCAAGCCAAGAAACAAUUUUUUAUAUAUUCCCAUUAGAAGUUUACUUGGCUUAUAAGUUAAGAUGUUAUCUUUAUAGUCCUUUUCCAUAGUUCUAUAGGGCCAAUUCCAUUAUCUGAUCUAACUUCAAAUGACCUUUAUGUCCUCAUCCUGAGUAUGAUGUACUUAGACUUUCAAGGGUAACCUGAUUAAUUUUCUCUGGAUGUUGUGCAAUUAGCGGGACCAUUUCCAGGAAGGGGAGGUGUAGCCAUUUCGAGAGGCCAGCUUGUGCGCACCUCGGCUAAUUCUGCUUCCUGCUACCUCCAAUCAACAGAAUUACCAGGCAACUCUAUAGACCAAGGCUUGGAUAGUCAACUUAUAAAUUUCUACACUUUCUCCAAGAUGCCUCAGGUGAAGGAAAUCGUUGUCAUAUGUGAUCCUUCUUAUCAUGACAUUUUUAAAGGUUCUACACUUUAUAGGUGUGUAAAUAGAGCUAUGGUAGCAUGUCUAAGAAUUGUGGAUGUUCACUAGUUGGUUGGAAGUCAAUCUGGAGAAAGAUUUGAACUCAUUAUUCUCCAAACUUUAGUUUUUCUCUUACAAUAUGGUCACAACAUCAUAGAAUGGA
Capsicum annuum is the source of this 1870-nucleotide long non-coding RNA. RefSeq lists it as uncharacterized. The record is from RefSeq and is a predicted model, not a curated record. Lineage: Eukaryota; Viridiplantae; Streptophyta; Magnoliopsida; Solanales; Solanaceae. The transcript is spliced from 7 exons.